UGAGUAAUGUCUGGGAAACUGCCCGAUGGAGGGGGAUAACUACUGGAAACGGUAGCUAAUACCGCAUAACGUCGCAAGACCAAAGUGGGGGACCUUCGGGCCUCACACCAUCGGAUGCGCCCAGAUGGGAUUAGCUAGUAGGUGGGGUAAUGGCUCACCUAGGCGACGAUCCCUAGCUGGUCUGAGAGGAUGACCAGCCACACUGGAACUGAGACACGGUCCAGACUCCUACGGGAGGCAGCAGUGGGGAAUAUUGCACAAUGGGCGCAAGCCUGAUGCAGCCAUGCCGCGUGUAUGAAGAAGGCCUUCGGGUUGUAAAGUACUUUCAGCGGGGAGGAAGGCGGUGGAGUUAAUAGCUUCACCGAUUGACGUUACCCGCAGAAGAAGCACCGGCUAACUCCGUGCCAGCAGCCGCGGUAAUACGGAGGGUGCAAGCGUUAAUCGGAAUUACUGGGCGUAAAGCGCACGCAGGCGGUCUGUCAAGUCGGAUGUGAAAUCCCCGGG
Molecule: ribosomal RNA, 504 nt
Filed under: uncultured bacterium
Lineage: Bacteria
Description: bacterial SSU rRNA
Rfam family: Bacterial small subunit ribosomal RNA
Source: RNAcentral